This 77-nucleotide transfer RNA is filed under the name Erysipelotrichia bacterium. RNAcentral's name for it is "tRNA-Arg". It matches the Rfam family "tRNA". Rfam says of the family: Transfer RNA (tRNA) molecules are approximately 80 nucleotides in length. Their secondary structure includes four short double-helical elements and three loops (D, anti-codon, and T loops). Further hydrogen bonds mediate the characteristic L-shaped molecular structure. tRNAs have two regions of fundamental functional importance: the anti-codon, which is responsible for specific mRNA codon recognition, and the 3' end, to which the tRNAs corresponding amino acid is attached (by aminoacyl-tRNA synthetases). tRNAs cope with the degeneracy of the genetic code in two manners: having more than one tRNA (with a specific anti-codon) for a particular amino acid; and 'wobble' base-pairing, i.e. permitting non-standard base-pairing at the 3rd anti-codon position. The record is from RNAcentral. Lineage: Bacteria; Bacillati; Bacillota; Erysipelotrichia.
GUCCUUAUAGCUCAGCUGGAUAGAGCGUUCGCCUCCUAAGCGAAAGGUCUCCGAUUCGAAUUCGGAUAAGGACGCCA